RNAcentral lists this ribosomal RNA (497 nucleotides) under uncultured bacterium. RNAcentral's name for it is "partial 16S ribosomal RNA". It matches the Rfam family "Bacterial small subunit ribosomal RNA", at positions 28 to 507 of the family's 1533-position model. The record is from RNAcentral.
GAUGAACGCUGGCGGCGUGCCUAAUACAUGCAAGUCGAGCGAACAGAUAAGGAGCUUGCUCCUUUGACGUUAGCGGCGGACGGGUGAGUAACACGUGGGUAACCUACCUAUAAGACUGGGAUAACUUCGGGAAACCGGAGCUAAUACCGGAUAAUAUUUCGAACCGCAUGGUUCGAUAGUGAAAGAUGGUUUUGCUAUCACUUAUAGAUGGACCCGCGCCGGAUUAGCUAGUUGGUAAGGUAACGGCUUACCAAGUCGACGAUACGUAGCCGACCUGAGAGGGUGAUCGGCCACACUGGAACUGAGACACGGUCCAGACUCCUACGGGAGGCAGCAGUAGGGAAUCUUCGGCAAUGGGCGAAAGCCUGACGGAGCAAUGCCGCGUGCGGGAAGAAGGUCUUCGGAUUGUAAAAUGCUGUUAUUCGGGAAGAACCUGCGUUGAAUGAAAUGUGGAGCUAUUGACGGUACCGAAUCAGAAAGCCCCGGCUAACUACGUG